Carica papaya (papaya) is the source of this 574-nucleotide non-coding RNA. The record is from RefSeq and is a predicted model, not a curated record. Lineage: Eukaryota; Viridiplantae; Streptophyta; Magnoliopsida; Brassicales; Caricaceae.
AAAGUUAUGAAGGCUUGAUUAUAUCUUAACUGUAUAAAUAUUUACCAUGAUCUAUUCACUUGUUCGUACAGGGUGCUUUUGGUAAAAGUGCACUAAUUGGAUCUGGUUUGGCAACAUACACGCUGCUUGGAUUAGGAGUGCUUGGCGGUCCUUUAUCACUUCCUUGGGGACUCUAUGUGCUGAUUUGCCAGAGAACUCCAGAGAAGCCAUGCUUGAAUGAUGUGACUGAGGUUGGAACAUGGAGGAAAGUAGCUGUUGCCAUAGCUAUGUUCCUCGUCAUCUUGACGCUGCUUCCCGUUGGGGAUGAGCUCGCAGAAGAGCUAGGUAUAGGUCUUGUAACCAUAUUUUGAUGUCUAACAUGUAAAUCCAAUUUUUGACUAAAAUCAUAUUGAACAUUGAGAUGAUGGAGGUCUUGUUCAAUUGGUUAUAUAAUCUUUCUUGUAACUAUGUUAUCCUUAUUUGUUACCCUGUUUUUCCCUUUCCCCAUUUUUGCUUCCACUAGGAUUUCAGUCAGUUGUAAAUUGAAACAUGGAUGUCUUCUAAUAAGAUAAUUUUACAGAUUUUUUUUCUCUUC